RNAcentral lists this long non-coding RNA (1150 nucleotides) under Cottoperca gobio. RNAcentral's name for it is "lncRNA (ENSCGOG00000010762.1)". Lineage: Eukaryota; Metazoa; Chordata; Actinopteri; Perciformes; Bovichtidae. The record is from RNAcentral.
GUUUAAAGGCUCCUGUUCCUACUCCACCAGCCCCAGGUACCAAGCCUGCUCCUCCUCCAGGUCCUCCUCCAACUCCUCCAGUACCUCCUCCAACUCCUCCAGGACCUCCUCCAACUCCUCCUGCCACCCCGCCUACUCCACCAGGUCAAAAAAAUAAACUUUUUUCACAAUUAACACUAUGUUAGUCAUUCCUAGAGGCUAUAGUGGACGUUUCAUACUCAUCGGUGAAAGAUGUAAUAGUCAUAAUGGAGUGGCAAAAAUGGCACCUUUUGGCGGUUUUGGUGUUCCUCCAACUCCACCAGCUGCACCUCCUGGUCCAACUCCAGUUCCAGUAGCAGGACCGUCUCCUCCUCCCACUCCUGUUACGCCACCUGAAACACCUCCUGCUGCUCCUGCACUGGUAGGAAUCCCUCCUACUCCACCCGGUUCUCCACCUGUGCCUCCUGUACCACCUCUUUCUCCAUCAGGACCUCCCUCUCCAUCUCCUUCACCUGGCGUGUCACCUCUGGGGACACCUGCAGACAGAGCACAGAACACCAGACCUGUAUUUCAGCUAGAAUCAAAACCACCAUUACAGAAAAGAAGUCUGACAGGUUCUCCAGCAAGUUUAAACACACCUUCUCCUCCAGAACUUCCAGACCCCUCUAUCACACUGCCAGCACCGCUAUCACCUGGAAUAAGAAGCCUACCACUGGGUCCAGAUGUUGUCCCUGCACCACUGCUUGUGCUGGUGCCAUUCACUGAAACACCAGUGCCGGUCCCUGUACCAGAUCCUGCAGUGCCGGUCCCUGUACCAGAUCCUGCAGUGCCAGAUCCUGCAGUGCCAGUAUCUGUACCAGAUCCUGUAGUGGCGGUCCCUGUACCAGAUCCUGCAGUACCAGAUCCUGCAGUGGCGGUCCCUGUACCAGAUCCUGCAGUACCAGAUCCUGCAGUGGCGGUCCCUGUACCAGAUCCUACAGUGCCGGUCCCUGUCCCUGCUCCUGCUCCAGCACUGCCUCGUCCAAAGCCACCUGGUCCACCUCCCGUCCCAACACCAGAACCAGGUAUCCCGCCGGUCCCCAGUCCUGCUCCAGGUCCACCACCAGUUGUUACUCCAACACCUCGUCCUGGGACCAGUCCUCCUACCCCCAGCCCAGGACCAGGUCCAUAG